RNAcentral lists this ribosomal RNA (301 nucleotides) under uncultured bacterium. RNAcentral describes it as "partial 16S ribosomal RNA". It matches the Rfam family "Bacterial small subunit ribosomal RNA", at positions 509 to 809 of the family's 1533-position model. The record is from RNAcentral.
CAGCAGCCGCGGGAAAACGGAGGAUCCGAGCGUUAUCCGGAAUUAUUGGGUUUAAAGGGUGCGUAGGCGGAUAGAUAAGUCAGUGGUGAAAGACGGUGGCUCAACCAUCGCAGUGCCGUUGAUACUGUUUAUCUUGAAUAUGGAUGAGGUAGGCGGAAUGUGGCAAGUAGCGGUGAAAUGCAUAGAUAUGCCACAGAACACCGAUUGCGAAGGCAGCUUACCAAGGCAAAAUUGACGCUGAGGCACGAAAGCGUGGGGAUCGAACAGGAUUAGAUACCCCAGUAGUCCUGUCUCUUAUACA